RNAcentral lists this ribosomal RNA (392 nucleotides) under uncultured bacterium. RNAcentral's name for it is "bacterial SSU rRNA". It matches the Rfam family "Bacterial small subunit ribosomal RNA", at positions 30 to 426 of the family's 1533-position model. The record is from RNAcentral.
AUUGAACGCUGGCGGCAUGCCUUACACAUGCAAGUCGAACGGCAGCGGGCCUUCGGGUGCCGGCGAGUGGCGAACGGGUGAGUAAUGCAUCGGAACGUGCCAUUGAGUGGGGGAUAACGUAGCGAAAGUUACGCUAAUACCGCAUAUUCUGUGAGCAGGAAAGCAGGGGACCGCAAGGCCUUGCGCUCUUUGAGCGGCCGAUGUCAGAUUAGCUAGUUGGUGAGGUAAAGGCUUACCAAGGCGACGAUCUGUAGCGGGUCUGAGAGGAUGAUCCGCCACACUGGAACUGAGACACGGUCCAGACUCCUACGGGAGGCAGCAGUGGGGAAUUUUGGACAAUGGGCGCAAGCCUGAUCCAGCCAUGCCGCGUGAGUGAAGAAGGCCUCGGUUGU